This 186-nucleotide ribosomal RNA is filed under the name uncultured bacterium. Its description in RNAcentral is "partial 16S ribosomal RNA". It matches the Rfam family "Bacterial small subunit ribosomal RNA", at positions 1315 to 1500 of the family's 1533-position model. The record is from RNAcentral.
CCUGCAUGAAGUCGGAAUUGCUAGUAAUCGCGGAUCAGCAUGCCGCGGUGAAUACGUUCCCGGGCCUUGUACACACCGCCCGUCACACCAUGGGAGUCGGUAACACCCGAAGCCUGUAGUCUAACCGUGAGGAGGACGCAGUCGAAGGUGGGAUUGAUGACUGGGGUGAAGUCGUAACAAGGUACC